Molecule: ribosomal RNA, 252 nt
Filed under: uncultured bacterium
Lineage: Bacteria
Description: partial 16S ribosomal RNA
Rfam family: Bacterial small subunit ribosomal RNA
Source: RNAcentral
UACGUAGGUCCCGAGCGUUGUCCGGAUUUAUUGGGCGUAAAGCGAGCGCAGGUGGUUUAUUAAGUCUGGCGUAAAAGGCAGUGGCUCAACCAUUGUAUGCAUUGGAAACUGGUAGACUUGAGUGCAGGAGAGGAGAGUGGAAUUCCAUGUGUAGCGGUGAAAUGCGUAGAUAUAUGGAGGAACACCGGUGGCGAAAGCGGCUCUCUGGCCUGUAACUGACGCUGAGGCUCGAAAGCGUGGGGAGCAAACAGG